AGAUUGAACGCUGGCGGCAUGCCUUACACAUGCAAGUCGAACGGCAGCACGGGAGCAAUCCUGGUGGCGAGUGGCGAACGGGUGAGUAAUAUAUCGGAACGUGCCCAGUCGUGGGGGAUAACGUAGAGAAAUUUACGCUAAUACCGCAUACGAUCUACGGAUGAAAGCGGGGGAUCGCAAGACCUCGCGCGAUUGGAGCGGCUGAUAUCAGAUUAGGUUGUUGGUGAGGUAAAAGCUCACCAAGCCGACGAUCUGUAGCUGGUUUGAGAGAACGACCAGCCACACUGGGACUGAGACACGGCCCAGACUCCUACGGGAGGCAGCAGUGGGGAAUUUUGGACAAUGGGCGAAAGCCUGAUCCAGCAAUGCCGCGUGCAGGAAGAAGGCCUUCGGUUGUAACUGCGUUUGUACGGACGUAACGGUACUUUACUAAUAAGAAGGACUAAUGACGGUACCGUAAGAAUAAGACACCGACUAACUACGU
This 484-nucleotide ribosomal RNA is filed under the name uncultured soil bacterium. Its description in RNAcentral is "bacterial SSU rRNA". It matches the Rfam family "Bacterial small subunit ribosomal RNA", at positions 26 to 506 of the family's 1533-position model. The record is from RNAcentral.